This 433-nucleotide ribosomal RNA is filed under the name uncultured bacterium. Its description in RNAcentral is "partial 16S ribosomal RNA". It matches the Rfam family "Bacterial small subunit ribosomal RNA", at positions 29 to 507 of the family's 1533-position model. The record is from RNAcentral.
AACGAACGCUGGCGGCAUGCCUAACACAUGCAAGUCGAACGAGACCUUCGGGUCUAGUGGCGCACGGGUGCGUAACGCGCGGGAACCUGCCCUUAGGUUCGGAAUAACUCCCCGAAAGGGGUGCUAAUACCGGAUAAUGUCUUCGGACCAAAGAUUUAUCGCCUUUGGAUGGGCCCGCGUUGGAUUAGCUAGUUGGUAGGGUAAAAGCCUACCAAGGCGACGAUCCAUAGCUGGUCUGAGAGGAUGAUCAGCCACACUGGGACUGAGACACGGCCCAGACUCCUACGGGAGGCAGCAGUGGGGAAUAUUGGACAAUGGGCGAAAGCCUGAUCCAGCAAUGCCGCGUGAGUGAUGAAGGCCUUAGGGUUGUAAAGCUCUUUUACCUGGGAUGAUAAUGACAGUACCGGGAGAAUAAGCUCCGGCUAACUCCGUG